CGAGUUACGAUGUGUAGCCAGGUUAAGCCGUUGCAGGUGUAGCCGUAGGGAAACCGAGUCUUAAUAGGGCGGUUUAGUUGCAUGUCGUAGACCCGAAACGGGAUGAGCUAUCCAUGAGCAGGUUGAAGCGGGGGUAAAACCUCGUGGAGGACCGAACCCAUAUAGGUUGAAAACUGUUGGGAUGACUUGUGGAUAGGGGUGAAAGGCCAAUCAAAUUCCGUGAUAGCUGGUUCUCUCCGAAAUGCAUUUAGGUGCAGCCUUUAGUGGACACCAUCGGGGGUAUAGCACUGAAUUGGCUAGGGGGCUUACCAGCUUACCAAACCAUAUCAAACUCAGAAUACCGAUGAGUGAUGCUAGGGAGUGAGACUAUGGGUGCUAAGGUCCAUAGUCGAAAGGGAAAGAGCCCAGACCAUCAGCUAAGGUCCCUAAAUAAUCGCUAAGUGGGAAAGGUUGUGGGAUUACUUUGACAUCCAGGAGGUUGGCUUAGAAGCAGCCACCCUUUAAAGAAAGCGUAAUAGCUCACUGGACUAGUGAUCCUGCGCCUAAAAUUCAACGGGGCUUAAGUGAUUUACCGAAGCUAUGGAUUGAGAUUUAUCUCAAUGGUAGGAGAGCAUUGUGUAUGCCGAUGAAGAUGUACCGUAAGGAGCAUUGGAGGUAUCACAAGAGCUGAUGCUGAAAUGAGUAACGAUAAGGAACGUGAGAAUCGUUCCCGCCGAAAAUCUAAGGGUUCCUGGGCCAGGUGACUCCGCCCAGGGUUAGUCGGAUCCUAACGCGAGGCCGAAAGGCGUAGUGGAUGGAUAACAGGUUAAUAUUCCUGUACUUAGUAAUUAUCGUUCGACUUGGUGGAGUGACGGAGAAAGGUAGUGAAGCCACACACUGGUUAGUGGUUUAAGCGAGUAGGUGGGAGACUCAGGCAAAUCCGGGUUUCUAUUAACGCCGAGACGUGAUGACGAGGGCCUAGCCCGAAGUUCAUGAUCCUAUGCUUCCUAGAAAAGCUUCGUAAGGAGAUGAUUAUUAAUCCGUACCGUAAACCGACACAGGUAGAUGGGAUGAGAAUUCUAAGGCGCUUGGGUAAACUCCAGUUAAGGAACUCUGCAAAUUGGUGCUGUAACUUUGGGAUAAGGCACGCCUUUUUUGGUGAUAGAACUUGCUUCUUGAGCUGAAGAGGGCCGCAGUGAAAAGGGGGUAGCGACUGUUUAUCAAAAACAUAGGUCUAUGCAAACUCGUAAGAGGACGUAUAUGGACUGACGCCUGCCCGGUGCUCGAAGGUUAAGAGGAGAGGUUAGAGCAAUCGAAGCUUUGAAUCGAAGCCCGAGUAAACGGCGGCCGUAACUAUAACGGUCCUAAGGUAGCGAAAUUCCUAGUCGGGUAAGUUCCGACCUGCACGAAUGGCGUAACGACUUCCCCACUGUCUCAACUGGAGACCCAGUGAAAUUGGAGUGCGCGUGAAGAUACGCGCUACCCGCGGAAGGACGAAAAGACCCCGUGAACCUUCACUGUAGCUUGGCAUUGGUUUUCGAAACACAUUGCGUAGGAUAGGUGGGAGCUUUUGAUCCGUGCAUUCCGGUGUACGAGGAGGCAACCUUGAAAUACCACCCUUUGUGUUUUGGAAUCCUAACCUACGAUCGUUAUCCGGUCGGGGGACAAUGUCUGGUAGGCAGUUUGACUGGGGCGGUCGCCUCCUAAAGAGUAACGGAGGCGCACAAAGGUUCCCUCAAGCCGAAUGGAAACCGGCUGUAGAGUGUAAACGCAUAAGGGAGCUUGACUGCGAGGCAAACAAGCCGAGCAGGUAGGAAACUAGGUGUUAGUGAUCCGGUGGUUCCGAGUGGAAGGGCCAUCGCUCAACGGAUAA
RNAcentral lists this ribosomal RNA (1852 nucleotides) under marine metagenome. RNAcentral describes it as "bacterial LSU rRNA". It matches the Rfam family "Bacterial large subunit ribosomal RNA", at positions 624 to 2459 of the family's 2925-position model. The record is from RNAcentral.